CAGUCGCCGCGGUAAUACGAAGGGUGCAAGCGUUAAUCGGAAUUACUGGGCGUAAAGCGCACGUAGGCGGAUCGAUCAGUCAGGGGUGAAAUCCCAGAGCUCAACUCUGGAACUGCCUUUGAUACUGUCGAUCUGGAGUAUGGAAGAGGUGAGUGGAAUUCCGAGUGUAGAGGUGAAAUUCGUAGAUAUUCGGAGGAACACCAGUGGCGAAGGCGGCUCACUGGUCCAUUACUGACGCUGAGGUGCGAAAGCGUGGGGAGCAAACAGGAUUAGAUACCCCGGUAGUCCCUGUCUCUUAUAA
RNAcentral lists this ribosomal RNA (301 nucleotides) under uncultured bacterium. RNAcentral's name for it is "partial 16S ribosomal RNA". It matches the Rfam family "Bacterial small subunit ribosomal RNA", at positions 509 to 809 of the family's 1533-position model. The record is from RNAcentral.